RNAcentral lists this ribosomal RNA (253 nucleotides) under uncultured bacterium. RNAcentral's name for it is "partial 16S ribosomal RNA". It matches the Rfam family "Bacterial small subunit ribosomal RNA", at positions 524 to 776 of the family's 1533-position model. The record is from RNAcentral.
GACGAACCGUCCAAACGUUAUUCGGAAUCACUGGGCUUAAAGGGUGCGUAGGCGGCCCGGCAAGUUGUGUGUGAAAGCCCUCGGCUCAACCGAGGAAUAGCGCGCAAAACUACCGGGCUUGAGGGAGACAGAGGUAAGCGGAACUUAGGGUGGAGCGGUGAAAUGCGUUGAUAUCCUAAGGAACACCAGGAGCGAAAGCGGCUUACUGGGUCUCUUCUGACGCUGAGGCACGAAAGCUAGGGGAGCGAACGGG